Long non-coding RNA from Chenopodium quinoa (quinoa), 544 nucleotides. RefSeq lists it as uncharacterized. The record is from RefSeq and is a predicted model, not a curated record. The transcript is spliced from 2 exons. Lineage: Eukaryota; Viridiplantae; Streptophyta; Magnoliopsida; Caryophyllales; Amaranthaceae.
UAAAUUAGUGUCAUGAAUGACUUCCGCCCUAAUGUUUUUGCAACUUCUUUCCUUUCUCUCUCUUCUUCUGACUUUCUCUCUUUACCUUCUAAUUCUCUAAAUGGCGAUUUUGUUCUUCGAUUUCGCUAAUCUAUUUCUUCGAUUUUGCUUAUCUAUUUUGACGAAUUCUUCGAUUUCUUUCAUCACGUUGUAGUAUUCGGUGUGAAUCCACCGUUUCUGCAGAGCUGUGUGGGAAUUUCGGUUUGGAGUAAGGAAAAUGGAGUUAUUUUGCCUACUUCAACAAUGCCCAACUUCAAACAGCAAAAGAUGCAGGAAUCAUAGCUAGAUUUGUGCUCUUAUUAGCGGAUCCAAGAUUUGAAUGAGAUUGAUAGUAAAUUGAUUAGAUAUUUGAAGAUGCACGUGGCCAUCUAUGUAAAUUGAAUGGCCAUGUUGGCUUUAAGGAAUAUAUUGAUCUUGGACCUUAUAUGGAUUGUAGGUGCUAGCCUAAUCCUAUACUUUAUUGUUCAUUCUUGUUUUAUGCAAUUGUUUACAUUUUUUGUGUGCA